This 265-nucleotide ribosomal RNA is filed under the name uncultured bacterium. Its description in RNAcentral is "partial 16S ribosomal RNA". It matches the Rfam family "Bacterial small subunit ribosomal RNA", at positions 338 to 619 of the family's 1533-position model. The record is from RNAcentral.
CCUACGGGAGGCAGCAGUGGGGGAUAUUGCACAAUGGGGGGAACCCUGAUGCAGCGACGCCGCGUGGGUGAAGGAGUGCUUCGGCAUGUAAAGCCCUAUCGGCAGGGAAGAAGCAAGACGGUACCUGACUAAGAAGCCCCGGCUAACUACGUGCCAGCAGCCGCGGUAAUACGUAGGGGGCGAGCGUUGUCCGGAAUUACUGGGCGUAAAGGGCGCGUAGGUGGGCGCUUAAGUCAGGUGUGAAAACUCCGGGCUCAACCUGGAG